This 271-nucleotide ribosomal RNA is filed under the name uncultured bacterium. RNAcentral's name for it is "partial 16S ribosomal RNA". It matches the Rfam family "Bacterial small subunit ribosomal RNA", at positions 524 to 789 of the family's 1533-position model. The record is from RNAcentral.
UACGUAGGGUGCGAGCGUUAAUCGGAAUUACUGGGUGUAAAGGGUGCGCAGGCGGACUGGUUAGUCUGGGGUGAAAUCUCAUCGCUUAACGGUGAAACUGCCUUAGAUACUGCCAGUCUUGAAUCAGCGAGAGGUUCGUGGAAUUCCGAGUGUAGCAGUGAAAUGUGUAGAUAUUCGGAAGAACACCAGUGGCGAAGGCAGCGAACUGGCGCUCGAUUGACGCUCAGGCACGAAAGCAUGGGGGAUCAAACAGGAGUUAGAAUGAUCCCCG